RNAcentral lists this long non-coding RNA (1807 nucleotides) under Agrilus planipennis (emerald ash borer). RNAcentral describes it as "uncharacterized LOC108739354, transcript variant X1". Lineage: Eukaryota; Metazoa; Arthropoda; Insecta; Coleoptera; Buprestidae. The record is from RNAcentral.
GAGUGAAUAAUCUCCUCAUGCAAACUACUAAUCCGGUAACUUGACAAAGUACAAAUAACACCGUACCGAAAGAAAGUUUUCGUGUACUGUUGACAUACAUCCUGUAAAUGAAUUACAUUUCUAAUUUUGUUGCAGAAAUAAUUACAAUAUAGAAAACAACAUUCGUAAAUAUGCAAAUGACGAAAUUAUAAAUAUAAAUAUUCAAUAAUUUUCUUUCCAUGAUUGUACACUUGUUUGUGUAAUAUACACCUAAUGAAGUACGCUAACAUAGGGAUAGGGAUUUUAGUUGGAAAAUUAGUUAAAGUUUACUGAUUAAAAUGAGGAUAAUAAUAAUACAUUAUUGUUUAUAAAAUCCAAUUGGCAAAGAAUUAUAACUAUGGCAUAUUUAAUGGGAAAUUUCCACAAAAACAUGAUUUUACAGAAAAGUUAACUUCAAUCGUCUUCCUUGUCUUGUUAUUUGUAGCGCAAUUUUCUUUCUUCCUUCGCGUUCCAUCAAAAUGAAGCUUUUAAGUCGGAACAAAUGCAAUUUUUACCGAUCACUGUAAUGUAUAUGUUUCUCUGUCACUUUACAAAACGUACUAUUUAUUGCACAGUUGCGUUACGCAUUUGUUUGUUUUAAAAAGUCAGUGCGUUAUUUCUACUGCAAAGUAUUGAUAUUAUUUGCAGAUAAUCGCAUAAAAUACUAACAUAAUGUUUCCGAAUGUGUUCUCUUGUAAUUAUGUAUGGUUACAAUUAUCUCACAUCUUUGUUUUUUAAUUGGAUGAAAGUGUAUGUGUGUGUGUUAUACGUAUGUAAAAAUUUGGAUAUAACUUACAAACACACCUUACAUGGCCUUUGUGCGAAAUAUCGCAGAUAAUUGCUAUAUGUAUAUUGAAGUUGAUGGCUAUAUGGAUGUUGAAGUUGAAUCAAUUAAAAAACAAUUUCAAAACAGCUAACUGCCCCUCCUUCAGUUGUCUUGCUGGAAAGCUUCACUAAUGUCCAAUAUUUAUGCAUAUUUUCUCUACAAGUCUUCUGUACCUUUGUAACUACAAUUUUCAUUACCUUUACAGAUUUCAUAGUCACCUAUCAUCGCCGUUCCCCUACGACCCUCUCUUUUAGUUGUCUUGCCACAAUUUCGGAUUUUACAGCCACUGAUGAUCGCCACCUCCCUACGAGCCUCUCUUUAAGUUGUAUUGCCACAAUUUCAGAUUUUACAGCCACUGAUGAUCGCCGCCCCCUACGAGCCUCUCUUUAAGUUGUCUUGCUACAAUUUCAGAUUUUACAGCCACUGAUGAUCGCCGCCCCCCUUCGAGCCUCUCUUUAAGUUGCCUUACCACAAUUUCAGGCAAAUGUUUCCAAAAAGUUUGACUAACAUUCAAUUUUUAUGCAUACUUCUUACUACUGAAAAUUGUUAAAAGUUUAAAGUGUUACUAUUAAGUUAAACUAUAUUACUGUUUCUUCUGUUUUGUGACCUUUUCUAUUUGGCCGAUUGUCUGUUCAAAUUACAUAAAAUAUUUAAUUUUGUACAAGUGUAUUUGUUAGAUUCUAUUAGAACGUUUAUUUAGAACUUGUACAAGUGCGCUCUUUACAACCAUAGACAAGACUGAAAAAUUAAAAUACUACCACUGAUAAAUGACAGGAACUUAACAUCAACUAUAUUGCCAACUUAAAAUACCGCAAAUAAUAAAACUUAACUACUACCAACAUCAUCUCAACACUCCCACUUACGUAUUAAGUUUUACAUUACUUCUUAGUUUUACAAAUGUACAUCAAAAAUAUUUAAACUACAUGCUUGAACAAUGAAACAUAAUAAAUACAGCUAAACUAA